UGCAGAAUCCCGUGAAUCAUCGAGUUUUUGAACGCAAUUUGCGCCCGAGGCCUCGGUCGAGGGCACGUCUGUCUGGGCGUCGCAU
RNAcentral lists this ribosomal RNA (85 nucleotides) under Picea glauca (white spruce). Its description in RNAcentral is "partial 5.8S ribosomal RNA". It matches the Rfam family "5.8S ribosomal RNA", at positions 73 to 154 of the family's 154-position model. From Rfam's summary of the family: 5.8S ribosomal RNA (5.8S rRNA) is a component of the large subunit of the eukaryotic ribosome. It is transcribed by RNA polymerase I as part of the 45S precursor that also contains 18S and 28S rRNA. Functionally, it is thought that 5.8S rRNA may be involved in ribosome translocation. The record is from RNAcentral. Lineage: Eukaryota; Viridiplantae; Streptophyta; Pinopsida; Pinales; Pinaceae. RNAcentral also lists the same sequence under 3 other names.